Molecule: small RNA, 222 nt
Filed under: Vigna angularis var. angularis
Lineage: Eukaryota; Viridiplantae; Streptophyta; Magnoliopsida; Fabales; Fabaceae
Description: Non-protein coding transcript
Source: RNAcentral
GAGGAAAGGAUUCUGCUGUCUGAGAAAACCUGCAUUUUCUGGGGCAACGUAUAGUUGCUCCUGAAGCUGGAAUGAGAGCAGAGUCGCAGACAUGUAGUGCUGUUUUUUUGGUGAAGGAUAAAACUCUAUCAAAAUGUUAUUUAAUGGUCCCCUUUCGGUUUUUUAAGGUAUAUUUUGCCUUUUGGUUAUUGGGGCUUCAUUUAGUUAAUUUAGUUAUGUACA